Long non-coding RNA from Clupea harengus (Atlantic herring), 1199 nucleotides. Lineage: Eukaryota; Metazoa; Chordata; Actinopteri; Clupeiformes; Clupeidae. The record is from Ensembl.
UAGAGGCGGGGAACUCAGCUGAUAGACAGCGACUACCCCGUAGUGACAUGAAGCAAAGGGGAAAACCACGACGUUAGGCCGCAUGCGUAAUGGCGUAGCAGAGGUGUGCUUAUAAAAUGGUGUGUGCUAUCAGCAGUAGAUUGUGGCUUCGGUGAGUUGCUAGAUGCAUAAAAUGCAUGUCAGAAUGUUGUAAUGGAGGAGUUGGAUGGAAGAGAGAGAAGAAAAGAUAUAUACCUCUGGGGUAGAGUGUCUUAUUUUGAUUGGGGAUCUGUGGAUGAACCUCUGGUGAAGGGGAGGAAACAUGGAAGUACCUGGUGCAAUAACUGAAAUUGGUUUCAAUACCAAUAGAUGAGACAGAUAGGAGGAGGAAAACUACUUUUCCUUUAAAAGCAACAGUUUUUCAAUACAAAUCGUUCGAUGACAACAGUUGUCUUUUGUCUGUAUAAUACAUUACUAAAUGCUGUUCAUUUCGCACGUUCACCAGUUUAUUUUCAUAUCAUCUGUCUGAUCUGUUUGCCACAUCUUUUGCUUGGUUUGUGCUUCAUGCUCAUGUUCCCUGAUCUCAUGGACUAAAAUUAAAGGAAAAUUCAGAUGGAGGGGUCGUGGUUUGCAAGUGGAAAAGACAGGAUGGAAAAGAUCACUCAUUUCUGACCCAAAGUACCUACCUGUAAUGUGUUUUUGUCGUUCGCCUUUGUCGGGGAUGCCAACUGUGGCGCAGCGUCGAUUGGGUUGAUGGGCCUCAAGUAAACCAGCUCCUGUAAGAGGCCUACGGCGCUCUCUAGUGGGCAACACUGGAAGCGCAAACUGCAACAAGUGUCACUUGGCUCAAGAUAAACAAACUCUUCUUUUGCUGCUCUAAGGGCAGCAUCACAUAAAAAUCCACCUUGGCGAGCACGGGAUCGCCCCAGGGCUGCGUACAGAGUCCCUUGUUGUUUUAUCGGCUUACUCGUGACUGCUCUGCCAGAUUUAACUACAGCCACAUCUUAAAGUUUGCUAAUGCAUCUAGCAUCACCAGAAUUCUCUCCCAUUCUUCCCACAACCCGUUUUCCCCCAUGGAGUCUGGACAGGAGCAUCCACGCAAGAACCACCAAGUUACUAAACACCUUUUUCCUCCCGGCACUCAGACUUUUGAACUCACUGUGUUCACAGCAGCCACAAUGCCUACCUCCACCCACCCACACACACACACACACACACAC